GACGAACGCUGGCGGCGUGCCUAAUACAUGCAAGUCGAGCGAACGGACGAGAAGCUUGCUUCUCUGAUGUUAGCGGCGGACGGGUGAGUAACACGUGGAUAACCUACCUAUAAGACUGGGAUAACUUCGGGAAACCGGAGCUAAUACCGGAUAAUAUUUUGAACCGCAUGGUUCAAAAGUGAAAGACGGUCUUUCUGUCACUUAUAGAUGGAUCCGCGCUGCAUUAGCUAGUUGGUAAGGUAACGGCUUACCAAGGCAACGAUGCAUAGCCGACCUGCGAGGGUGAUCGGCCACACUGGAACUGAGACACGGUCCAGACUCCUACGGGAGGCAGCAGUAGGGAAUCUUCCGCAAUGGGCGAGAGCCUGACGGAGCAACGCCGCGUGAGUGAUGAAGGUCUUCGGAUCGUAAAACUCUGUUAUUAGGGAAGAACAUAUGUGUAAGUAACUGUGCACAUCUUGACGGUACCUAAUCAGAAAGCCACGGCUAACUACGUG
This 497-nucleotide ribosomal RNA is filed under the name uncultured bacterium. RNAcentral's name for it is "partial 16S ribosomal RNA". It matches the Rfam family "Bacterial small subunit ribosomal RNA", at positions 28 to 507 of the family's 1533-position model. The record is from RNAcentral.